RNAcentral lists this ribosomal RNA (769 nucleotides) under marine metagenome. RNAcentral describes it as "bacterial SSU rRNA". It matches the Rfam family "Bacterial small subunit ribosomal RNA", at positions 740 to 1520 of the family's 1533-position model. The record is from RNAcentral.
CUGACACUGAGGAACGAAAGCAUGGGUAGCGAAGAGGAUUAGAUACCCUCGUAGUCCAUGCCGUAAACGAUGUGUGUUAGAUGUUGGAAAUUUAUUUUCAGUAUCGCAGCGAAAGCAAUAAACACACCGCCUGGGGAGUACGACCGCAAGGUUAAAACUCAAAUGAAUUGACGGGGACCCGCACAAGUAGUGGAGCAUGUGGUUUAAUUCGAAGAUACGCGCAGAACCUUACCAACACUUGACAUGUUCGUCGCGACUCUAAGAGAUUAGAGUUUUCGGUUCGGCCGGACGAAACACAGGUGCUGCAUGGCUGUCGUCAGCUCGUGUCGUGAGAUGUUGGGUUAAGUCCCGCAACGAGCGCAACCCUUACUUUUAGUUGCCACCAUUUAGUUGGGCACUCUGAAAGAACUGCCAGUGAUAAGCUGGAGGAAGGUGGGGAUGACGUCAAGUCCUCAUGGCCCUUACGUGUUGGGCUACACACGUGCUACAAUGGCAUUUACAAUAGGAAGCAAGACGGCGACGUUAAGCAAAUCCUAAAAAAAUGCCUCAGUUCGGAUUGUACUCUGCAACUCGAGUACAUGAAGCUGGAAUUACUAGUAAUCGCGGAUCAGCGCGCCGCGGUGAAUGCGUUCCCGGGUCUUGUACACACCGCCCGUCACACCAUGGGAGUUGGUUCUACCUUAAGGCAAAGUUUAAAACCUUUGACCACGGUAUAGUCAGCGACUGGGGUGAAGUCGUAACAAGGUAGCCGUAGGGGAACCUGCGGCUG